AUAGCGUAUAUUAAAGUUGUUGCAGUUAAAACGUCCGUAGUCAAAUUUUAGUCUUUAGGCGAAGUGGCCUGGUCUUCAUUGAUCAAGCUCGUUUCUGCCGAGACUUUUUUUUUGGUUAUGCUACUGUUGGCUUCGGUCGGCGGUAGUCUCUAGCCAAAUGAUUACCAUGAGCAAAUCAGAGUGUUUAAAGCAGGCUUUCAAGCUUGAAUGUGUUAGCAUGGAAUAAUGAAAUAUGACUUUAGUCCCUAUUUCGUUGGUUCAGGAACUUAAGUAAUGAUGAAUAGAAACGGUUGGGGGCAUUUGUAUUUGGUCGCUAGAGGUGAAAUUCUUGGAUUGACCGAAGACAAACUACUG
RNAcentral lists this ribosomal RNA (354 nucleotides) under uncultured eukaryote. RNAcentral's name for it is "SSU rRNA". It matches the Rfam family "Eukaryotic small subunit ribosomal RNA", at positions 594 to 945 of the family's 1831-position model. The record is from RNAcentral.